UACAGAGGUCUCAAGCGUUGUUCGGAUUCAUUGGGCGUAAAGGGUGCGUAGGCGGCGCGGUAAGUCGGGUGUGAAAUCUUGGAGCUUAACUCCGAAACUGCAUUCGAUACUGCCGUGCUUGAGGACUGGAGAGGAGACUGGAAUUUACGGUGUAGCGGUGAAAUGCGUAGAUAUCGUAAGGAAGACCAGUGGCGAAGGCGGGUCUCUGGACCGGUUCUGACACUGAGGAGCGAAAGCGUGGGGAGCGAUCCGG
RNAcentral lists this ribosomal RNA (253 nucleotides) under uncultured bacterium. RNAcentral describes it as "partial 16S ribosomal RNA". It matches the Rfam family "Bacterial small subunit ribosomal RNA", at positions 524 to 776 of the family's 1533-position model. The record is from RNAcentral.